RNA transcript from Lactuca sativa (garden lettuce), 3842 nucleotides. It is a transcript of the gene named putative receptor-like protein kinase At5g39000, with no coding region annotated. Lineage: Eukaryota; Viridiplantae; Streptophyta; Magnoliopsida; Asterales; Asteraceae. The record is from RefSeq and is a predicted model, not a curated record.
UAUCCUCCAAUUUGCCCAAAAAGAGAAAUUUUGUGAAAACCAAUAAAGUCAAUGGUCAACCGACAUCCGUUAGCAGCACAAUAACGACCGGCACAAGAACCAGACGAAAUCAUCCCGAUCACUGCCGGAAUUGUGAAGCUUUUCUGGAUACAAGAGAUAUCGUGAAGAAUCAAAGGUCUGAUCAGGAAUAGCUACACGACGAUGUUACCUUCACCUAUCAAGGAUGCCGACUCCUCUUUCAUACUCCCAGACCAGACAUGUCAGCGUUUUACUCUUGCUGAGAUUGAAUCAGCAACCGAAAACUUCGACGAGGCUUUAGUCAUUGGCAGGGGAGGAUUCGGCAAGGUGUAUAAAUGUUCCAAAAUCGGGUCAAUGAGCGAUGUUGCAGUCAAACGGUUGCAUUCCAUGUCCAAUCAAGGAGCCCAUGAAUUUGAGUCGGAAGUCAAGGUCCUCUCUAAGCUGCGACAUGGUAAUCUUGUAUCCUUAAUUGGUUAUUGCAAUGAAGUAAAAGAGAUGGUGCUCGUUUAUGAGUUCAUGCCGAAUGGAACACUUGAAGAUCAUCUUCGCUCCCCUGAUUUAUCUUUAUCUUGGUUACAACUACUCAAGAUAUGUAUAGGGGCAGCUCGAGGAUUAGACUACCUUCACAUGGGUACAUCAACUCAACAUGGAGUCAUACACCGAGAUGUGAAGUCAUCCAAUAUUUUGUUGGAUGCGAACUUUGCUGCUAAAAUUUCAGAUUUCGGAUUGGCUAAAGUUGGGGUAAUUGAUCAGACACGAACUCAUAUGAGCACAGCUGUGAAAGGGACAUUUGGGUAUAUGGAUCUGUGCUAUUUCUAUACCGGAAAAUUGACGAUGAAAUCAGAUGUUUACGCUUUUGGUGUUGUACUAUUUGAGGUGUUGUCAGGGAAAAAAGCUGUAGAUUCAACUCUUGAUGAAGAGCACUGGGGUUUAGCAGCUUGGGCUCAACACCAAAUCAAAGAAGGAAAGAUCAAUCAAAUUAUUGAUCCGAGAUUGAUUGGACAAAUAUCCAAAAAAUGCUUGAAAGAGUAUGUAAGCAUAGCAGGCCACUGUUUACACACUCAACCGAAACACCGCCCUACCAUGGCAGAGGUUGUUUUCAAGAUCGAGUCUAUUCUUUCACAAGCAACAGAAAGCGCCAAUUCGGUUGUUGAUGAUGAUGGAUUCAUUUUCAAGCUAAGAUCUCUUUUCGUUGGGAAAGUAGCUGAUGUUAAUGCUCCAAUAGGAAAAGAUACCGAUGAAAGUUUUAGAACUUUCACAUAUGCUGAAUUGGUAAUUGCAACGAAUGGUUUCCAGGACAAGAAACAUUCCCCAACUAUAAAUGAAUCCAUUUACAAAGGUUGGGUUGAUGAAAAGACAUAUGCGCCAACAAAAUAUGGUGUUGGUUUAGCGAUGUAUGUUAGGAAAAUGGAGAUUCCAACACGAAAGGACAUCAAGCCAGAAGAUUUCAAUCAUCCGAACAUUGUAAAACUCUUGGGAUAUUGCUUGAAUUAUCAUGAACUAUUUUGUGUUUACAAGCUCAUAUCUGGCAUAACUUUGGAUAAAUAUCUUUACCAAGAGUCACGUAGAACUUCACUUUCGUGGGUUGCACGAUUAAAAAUAUCAAUAGGAACAGCUGAAGGCUUGUUGUAUAUACAUAAGAGGAACCAGCCAGCGUAUAGCCAAUUUAAGACCCAUCAUAUAUUAGUGGAUGAGGAUUUUAAUGCUAGGCUUACAGAUAUUGGUUUUGAUACUCACACCUUCCAGUUGGAUGCAUAUUAUUAUGCAGCCGUUCAUGACGAAUCAGAUACAUUUGAUGGUAUUCGCCGACACUGGCUGCGUGAAGAUGGUUUUGCAAUCAAGAGUGAAGUCUAUGCUUUUGGAGUGGUACUGUUGGAAAUACUAACAGGGAUGAAGGUGUAUGAUGGGAGGAGGCCCCUUGAAAAGCAAAAACUGGUGGAAUGGGCUAUUCCAUUGCUAACAGAUGAGGUUAAAUUGAGAAUGAUUAUGGACCCACAAUUUCAACAUAAUGAUUGUCCUCCAAAGGAAGCAUUCAAGUUUCGCUCAACUUAUUUUAAACUGUCUUCAACCAAAACAUGAGAAACACACAUCAAUGGAAUACAUCUUGAAGCUUUGGAGUCAAACAAAGACUUCUUUUUUUUAAGACCUUGCUGAUCAGAGACAGAAGAUGACAUGAACAGUGGCGCAUGAACAGUACAUCGGAACAGUAACCACGUGAACAGUGCAUUCGUGAACAGUUUUAUUUAUUUAUUUUUUUUUUUGGUCCCUGCUUCUGCCAAUCGCUUCUUUCUUCAUGGAACCACUCAAACCUUUCUCUACAACAGAAAAGACUGCACAUAACUCUCACAAAUUUGGUUUUACAUUAUCACCAACCAACUAUGGUUAUUGGAAAACCAUGAUUCAACCUUUCUUGACCACAAAUAAUCUGUUUGGGUAUGUUGAUGGCACCAUUCUAUGUCCACAAGCAACUACAACUUCUGAGACAGAAACUUCUUCUGCUGUUGCAAACCCUAGCUAUGCAAUCUGGAUAGCUAACGAUGCUCAUGUACGUAUGCUUUUACUAUCUACAAUUUUUGAAUCUUCCUUCCAGCAUGUACAGGGGACUACCUCCCGUGAACUUUGGCUGUCCCUUGAACGAGCCUAUGCACCACAUACUUUUUCCAGGGAGUAAACCCUCAAAACCCAACUUCUCAAACUAGAGAUGAAAGGUGAUGAGACCUCCUCUGCCUAUCCCAACAGAGCUCAAGGAUAUGCUGAUGCCUUAGCAAAUAUUGGUGAACCAAUGAAAGAAAAAGAUCUAGUUAUGCUUGUGAUCUCUGGUCUUAGGGAAGAAUACAAUGGUUUAAAAUCAACCAUCCUUGCUCGCCAAAUUCCCACAGCCUUCUCUGAAUUGAAUGGUCUUCUCUCAGAUCACGACUACAUGAUACGUAAAUCGGUGCCUGAAAUCUCACAUGUCCAAGCUUUCACGACUGCUACUACAAGCCAUAACACCACCACUGCACCCUCCUCAACAGUCGUUACAAAUCAGUUGCAAAACCUACAACAUUUGUUAUUACAACUUGGUUUACAACUUCAGCCAACAAAGAGUUCAUCUCCUCAAGCCUUUUACACAAACAGGGCUGGAAACAAUCGUGGUCGAGGGCAAUUCAAUCGACGUGGACGAGGAAACUACAACCGUACCCAAGGAGAUUUCAACAACACAAAUCAGGGUGGAGGUAACCGUGGUCAGUUUUCUUGGGCUUCUAAUCAAAACACUGUUUAUGGUACAUGUAACAGGUGUGGAAUAGGACAUGUUCCUUCUCAAUGUCCAAACCGUGACUCUGCUACUUUUUGAAGACCACCAGCAUCGGCUAACUAUGCAGAUCACCGCUCACAAGCAUCCACCUCCUGGCUAACUGACACAGGAUCCAGUCACCAUGUCACACAUGAUCUGCAUGGUCUCGACAGAACUGAGCCUUACUAUGGCAAAGAUAAUCUCCACGUUGGCAAUGGACUCAGCUACUCACAAUACCCUCCUCACGGGUCCAAGUAAUGGCGGACUUUACUCUAUUUGUCUACCUCAGUUCCAAUCUCUUCCAAAAGUUGCGUUUUCUACUGUUCGUGCUUCGUCCCAGAUUUGGCAUCAACGACUAGGACACCCACAUAUUCAACUUUUACAAUCUAUUUUAUCUAGAUACAAUUUACCUUUGUCAAAUAAAUGUUCUUCUUUUGUUUGUGACUCGUGCUUAGUUGGAAAAUCGUCUAAAUUACAUUUAUCACCGUCUUCUUACAAGAGUUCUCAUAUUUUAGAUCUUGUAUUUUGUGAUGUAUGGGGACCAGCACCU